Podarcis lilfordi (Lilford's wall lizard) is the source of this 67-nucleotide non-coding RNA. Lineage: Eukaryota; Metazoa; Chordata; Lepidosauria; Squamata; Lacertidae. The record is from the annotation of a GenBank genome assembly.
GGGCCUUGUCUUGGGGGUAGAGCAUCUGCUUUGCAGAAGGAUCCGGGUUCAAUUCCUGGCAUCUCCA